CAGAGCUACCAGCACACACAGGAGCCUGGCUUCCUUCUUGGGACAGAUCUAACUAGCUGAAGUGUGUGGAGAAGGGAAAUUCUGUGCCUUCAGGACCUAAACCUUGAAAAGCCAUGACUGAGAACCACCUUAGACUGGAAACGAACCGAGCUCAAGCCUGCUGAGCAGCUAAAAGCAGUGUGCAGGGCUAGCCCUAGGCAGACAGCCUCUACUUUUAUGGCCUGCAAACAAGGAGGACAACUGGAAAAGUGGGAAGUUUGAAAUCCAGGAAUCAUAGUCGAUGGCAGGAUCACAGAAGUCUCUUCUCUUAUUUCCCUGUGUGACUCUCGGGAUGGAGCACAAAAGAGCAAAGUUUGAAAGGGUGGAGAGCCUGAGGAAUCACCUUCAACCUUGCCACCAUCAGUCAAAAGGAAACCAUAGCACCAACCCCCAGAGCCCUGGCUAGGUGAAGAUUUAUCAGAUCAAUCUAGCCUUCCUCAACAAGCAGAAUGUGCUCCUGUGGCUUCGCACUUCCCCACAGCCUCUGCAGAGACACCCAGAGAAGGAGCAUUGGCAUCAAGAUCAUUACGGAAUUAUGAGACCCAUCGAAACAUCAUUAGGGCCACUGUGGAAAAAUCAAUCUUCCCUGGCUAGAACUGAAUUGCAUAGCCAUAGGACCCCACUUCAUUUUCCUAAUGCCUGCUCCUCAGAAACUAGCAGGGUGCUGUUCCCUGAUCUUGAACCCUAAACACUAUCUUCUUAGUGCCUGCCUCUGGAGAACCACUGUGACACUUGCUAAAACAAAAGGGGAUUCAUUGACUCAUAUCAUUGGCAAGUCCUCAGGUAGAGUUUUGAGUUUGCAGCAGAGGUAGAUUCAGAGCUCCGACGAGGGUGACCAACAAGGACACGGGACUUUCAGGGCUAACAUCAGGGAUGUCCCAGGAAACCUAGGACGAGAAGUCACUCUUGCUCCAGUGUUCAAGCAGGUCUUGAUGUCUUUUUAUUUCUUGACUCUGCUUUCAGCUAGGUUGGAGAAUUCAGUCUUAGGCUUUGCACAUGGCAUUAGGUCAGCAGCUCCAGAACCUAUAUUCUCUCAGGUUGGAGGCCUGCAUGAAGGGAGCUAGUUUACUUCCCUUGUGGUGCCAAAGGAUCGGAUCGAGACUUACUGGCUGUCAUUGGCCUGUUUGAGUCAUGUGCCAAUUCUUUUUUUUUUAGUUUAGUUUUUUUUAAUUGAGACAUAAUUCACAUACUAUAAAAUUCACACUUUUAAAGUAGGCAAUCCAGUGUUCUUUAUAUUCACAAUGUUGUACAAUUAUCGCUGAUUCCAAAACAUUUAUUUACCUCAAAGAGAAAUCCCAUACCUAUCAGCAGCCCCUCUUCCUCCCUGUUCCUCUAGUCCCUAGGAACCACUAAGCUACUUUCCCUGCUCUAUAGAUUUGCCUAUUCUGGAUAUUUCACAUAAAUGCAAUCACUUAACAUAUGGCCUUUUAUAACUGUCUUCUUUCACUUAGCAUAAUGUUUUCAAGGUUCAUCCAUGUUGUAGCAUGAAUCAGUACUUUGUUCCUUUUUAUGGCUGAAUAAUAUUCCCAUGAUAUGUCUAUACCAAUAUCUUGUUCAUCUGUUUGUCAGAUGAUGGACACUUAGGUUGUUUCCAUUUUUGACUGUUAGGAAUAAGCUGCUAUGAACAUUUGUGUACAAGUUUUUGUUUGAGCGUUUGCUUUCAAUUCCCUUGGGUAUUUAAGAGUGGAGUUGCUGGGCUGAACGGUAAUUCUUUGUAUGUCCCCAUUUUUUAUUCAAACACUGUGGCCUGAAGGAUGGAAUGGUCUGAUUGGUUUAAACUUAAGUCAUGUGCUCUACUUCUGGUGCUGAUGGUGGAGUCAGUUUCACUAGAACCACAUAUACCAAGAAGAAAAAAAUGAUUCACCAGAAGGAAAUCGGGUACAGUUAUCAGAUGGAGGGUGAAUGGACUCUAGGGAGCAAAUCCACAGAUGACCACUGCAAAUAGCUACGUUUAUUGAAUGCUUGCUGUGAGCCAGACACAGUGCUAAAUACAUGCAUUAUUUCAUUUAACCUUCACAGCAACCUCUUGAGGAUUCUAUUAUUCCUAUUUUACAGAUAAGGAAAUUGAGAUUAAGAAAAGUUGAAUGAAUUGCCCAAGUGUGUAUAGCUGGGAGGUGAAAAUUUGAACCCAGGUCCGACUGCAAAGCAAAGUGUCAGAAAAAAAAGAUUCCAAGUUAUGUUAAAAUUUAUCUGCUGAGGCUCUUGUAUGUCAUUUGCCCAACAUUAUAAUCAUUGGAGAAGAGUCUGUGUAACCAAAAUUUCCUUUCACAUCAAGGACAGGAACAGGUUUUUAUAAUGAAAAAAAUCAUAGUUGACAUUUUUUUCCUUUCCAAGUAAGCAUUCAGUUUUGUCAGAUAGCACAUCAUUGGCAUUGAGAUUAAGCUGCUCUAUUUCUCAGAAAGCCUCCAUGCUUCUUGUAACCACCCAUCUUUUACUAAUAGGUUUAGCAGAAAUUCAACUAAAUUCUUCUUGUCAUGAGAUUAGGAAAUGCAGAACUCCACAUCAUGCUCUUAACCUCCUUCAGAUAUGAUUUACAAGAGCUUUUAUCUCAGACUCUUCUGUGGUCCUCACAGAGAUCUAGAGCCAGGGAUCACUGACUCCCUACUCAGGGAGACCAGAGCCCGGAUGGUGUCAGAUGAAUGGGACAGGAGAUAAGGGGUGGCCAAAGAGUUGAGGGGGAUAAGGCGAUGCAUUUCAUUGUCGCCCCACCCUCUGCCAAUUACAAAAGGCCAGCCUUUGGAAUAUCACAGCAGGAUAACUUCACAUUAAACUGAUACUUUAUUAAGCUUCAUAUUAAGCUGUACACUUACAGCACCACACUGACUCCUCUUGAGAGGUCCCUCCUCCUCCUCCCCAAUACACACAUCCCCAUCAGGAAACUUGUUUCCUAAGUCCUUUAAAGAUUUACUGCCAGUACCACAGACAAAUUAGUGAAUACCCCAGCAGUUGAUUCCAAAGACAGGAUGCUCAUUUGCAUGAGGAGUUGCAUGUCAUUUGCAUUAUAUUUGCAAGUUCUUUGCAUAUCACAUCUACCCUGUCAAAAUGUACAUAAAUCCUUUAUACUUUCACUUUUUUAUUUUCUAAAAAAAGACUACGCCUCCACAUCCUGCCCAGACUGUCUGGUGAAAUUGCUAGUUGAGAAUUCCUAGUUUGUGAAGAGCCUCACAUGCCAUGUGGAGGAGACUUCAACCCAUAGAGAAUCCCCAAGGAUAUCAGAACCCAGUUUGAGACACUUCAUUCGUUCAUUUAAUCAUCAAAUCUGUACUGACCAUCUACAAUAUGCCAGGCACUGUUUUAGAUGCUUUGGAUAUAUCUGUAAAUGCUGACAUAAAAAUAGGUACAGCAUUAAAAAUUAAAUGCUAUCAUUUCAGAAAAUGACUUGGCACCAACCCAAUCAAUAAAUAUGAGUGCAAACCAGUACCAAAAUCUCAAAGUAGUUGGUUAUAAGGUGGUCAUCUGGAUAUUAUAGACUCUGCUUACAUUAAAAAAAAUUAAUCCUGAAAUUAAAUAAUAUCUUUCUUGAAGAGUACUUAAGACCCCCUCAGUGUGGGUCCCCAGGGGCUCAUGAACCCCAGGUUUGAGAUACACCGAUUGGGGAGCCAGUAAAGGAUUUAACCAGGGAAAUGACCUGGGUUGUAUCUUAGAAAGCUCACUCUAGCAUCUAAGUGAAGGGUGGGCUGGAAGCAGCUCAAGGCCAGAGGCUGGGAGAUCAGAGAGGCUUAGUUAGUCCUGGGUGUGACUCAGGUGUGGGGCUGUUCACAUUUCCAGCCCCAUAAAAUUGUGGCACCCUCACUGAUGUCCAUCCAAAACUGUAUCACACUACGUACAUGGUGGUUUCAGAAAUUUGCAAUAAACAUUUGUACAGCUACAGGGGAGGGGUCACAAUACACAUAGUUUCACUUGAAAACUCCACUCUAGACAUGUCUAUUCAAAUUUUCUUAGGCAGCCAUAAGUGGUAGUCCUUCUCAACUUUUCCAUCAUCCAGCUCUCAACUGACUCUAGACUCUCUCUUCCUGAUCUUUUAAAUUAUGGAAUUCCAAAUUCAUCACCUCUUUAUUUUCUGGAACAACUCAGCUUCUAUUCCAAACUCUCAGGGAAUAUGGGAAAACAAAGGGCCCUUCAGUUCAAAACCUACCCUACAGGAGGUUAUAAGUAACUUUUUGUAAAAGUCUGUCUUAAAAAAAAAACUGGUAAGGACCUUACCAUGAGCAAAAGCUCUGUAAUGGAGAGAAGAGACAGAGACAUGAGAGAGAGAGAAUCAGGACUGCAGUGGGGAGAGGAAGCCCAUACAAAUACAAAGUUUCAAGGGCUAGGCCACAAACAGCCCUCACCAGGUCUUGGUCACGCAGUUAUGGUGGGUCAGUGAAUUAGAUGCUCAGAGGUAGCCAAACAGCAUCUGGUUAAAAACCCAGGGUUAACACCAAUCUACAAAGAGGAGAAAUGUAAUGAAUGGGAGCCCAAGGAAAAGUGACAGAGAGAAUGAAUAGCAGAAAACAAUAGUUUCAAGCAAAGAGAGAUGGGGAGGGGAAUGUAAAAAAAAAAGAGGGAUCCAGAGAUGUAAAACAUAACAGAGGUCAAAUACAAGGAAAACUGGAGAGAAUUCAUUGGAUCUAGCAAUUAAGGUGACCUUCUAAGAGCAGUUUUAGUGAGAUCAACGCUGUUGAUUACUUACCCAAAAGCUAUUUGCUUACUCUUCUUCCUUAAUGUAAGGAUUUCUCCCAUUACAGGAGCUCAAUAAUGCCAGAUGUUUUAUUAAUAUCCCUUCCCCUACCCUAAGGGUUGGCCAGUGACCUAGUUCUGGACAAUGGGACUUGGGAGUCGAACUUUCUGGAAAAGAUUCUCCCCCUCAAUACAAAAAAAUAACUUCAACCCCUUUCUUUUCGGCUUUGGAAGUUGUGUUGUGAGCCCAUGCUGUUCAGAGCUGUGGCAGCUAUCUUAGGACCCUGAGGAUGGCAAAUGAGAAAUCCCUAGAUCCUUGAUGACACUACUAAGUGGCUAAAUCAACCAAACUAGAAGCAAAUUACCUCUGGACUUAUUGUUAUAUGAGAUAAAUAAAAGCCAUUACUGUUUAAAUCA
Long non-coding RNA from Manis pentadactyla (Chinese pangolin), 5115 nucleotides. RefSeq lists it as uncharacterized. Lineage: Eukaryota; Metazoa; Chordata; Mammalia; Pholidota; Manidae. The transcript is spliced from 4 exons. The record is from RefSeq and is a predicted model, not a curated record.